Molecule: ribosomal RNA, 468 nt
Filed under: uncultured bacterium
Lineage: Bacteria
Description: partial 16S ribosomal RNA
Rfam family: Bacterial small subunit ribosomal RNA
Source: RNAcentral
GACGAACGCUGGCGGCGUGCUUAACACAUGCAAGUCGAACGGAAAGGCCCUGCUUUUGUGGGGUGCUCGAGUGGCGAACGGGUGAGUAACACGUGAGUAACCUGCCCUUGACUUUGGGAUAACUUCAGGAAACUGGGGCUAAUACCGGAUAGGAGCUCCUGCUGCAUGGUGGGGGUUGGAAAGUUUCGGCGGUUGGGGAUGGACUCGCGGCUUAUCAGCUUGUUGGUGGGGUAGUGGCUUACCAAGGCUUUGACGGGUAGCCGGCCUGAGAGGGUGACCGGCCACAUUGGGACUGAGAUACGGCCCAGACUCCUACGGGAGGCAGCAGUGGGGAAUAUUGCACAAUGGGCGGAAGCCUGAUGCAGCAACGCCGCGUGCGGGAUCACGGCCUUCGGGUUGUAAACCGCUUUCGCCUGCGACGAAGCGUGAGUGACGGUAAUGGGUAAAGAAGCACCGGCUAACUACGUG